Populus nigra (black poplar) is the source of this 1624-nucleotide long non-coding RNA. RefSeq lists it as uncharacterized. NCBI's taxonomy places the organism in Eukaryota, Viridiplantae, Streptophyta, Magnoliopsida, Malpighiales, Salicaceae. The record is from RefSeq and is a predicted model, not a curated record. The transcript is spliced from 2 exons.
AACUUUGUAACUUUGGAGUUACAACGAGGGUGACUCCUUUCCUAUAGAGAAUCCUUUACUGUUUAUUCACUGUGCACUAAACACUCUAAUUAGUAAUUACUGUGGACUUCAACAGUGAUUCAGCCUUUAUCACUUUCACACGGGUUCUUGCCUAAUUUUGUCUUUGUCACGUUCUAAUUUGUUCUGGCUUUGUCUUGCUGCGUGGCGCGCCUCAGGGGUUUGUUGUGUCAUGAUCAGAGAUCGGUUGGCUCUGUCUUUCUCUCACUGUGUGGCGCGCCUCAGGGGUUUUAUCAAAGGCUUGAUUUGGGUUGUUUGCGCGCAUGGGUUGUUUGUUGAGCUGUUUGUUUAUGGUGUUUCCAGCGGCUGGGUCGCUUGAACUUCUACGCAAGUCAAUGAUGGGUUUUGGUGCCAGUGAUGUUUGUGGCUUGGUCAUGACUGAUUUUCAAAGAAGUGGACCCAUAAGCAUGAUUGUGCAUUAAAUAUUAUGUUCACCUGGCAGGGUUUUGUCUAUCGGACAGCAUUCGAGAAGCUGCUGGUUUCUGGGUUGGAUUAGACCUUUGUUUCAUCUGGACGAAAAUAUUUGGCGCUUUAAGUGUUUCGCACUUUCGAUGUUUUUAUUAUGCUUUUUUUGGCUUUUUUACUGUGACCAGAUCUGUCUUUCACGCUGCCCUAGUUUCGUUCCUUUAAUUUUUCGUUGGGUCUCAUGUCAUUUCCAGUCCUGUUUAAUUGUUUUUUUAUUUGGCUGCCAUGCUUUUUCCUUGGGAUUCCUGCUCCUUCACAUCAUUUUUUUCUUAGGGAGUUUGUUUUCUUUGCAUGCUUCUCUUCUUUGUGUUUUAGGGUGGGUUUUCUUCUCUGAGGUCUGGUGAUUUGGUGUUAGAUUUUGUCUCCCUUUUAUGAUUGUCAUUGUUCUUGAUGAGCAUUUUUUUUUCAUCAUAACCUUCACUAUUUCGAUUUUUUUGGUUCUGUUGUGUCCUUUCUUGAUGUUUUUGAGCGUCGUUUCACUGUUUCAAGUUUCUUUCAUUGAACGUGCAGGCUGAAGUUCUGUGCGUCGUUCCACGAAGGAGCUGGUUAGCUAUCUGUUGGUUGGAACUGAAGCUUUUCUCUUUUGGUGCUCUGUCACAGUUCUUGCUUGGAAAUAAUUUUAUUAUCUGCCAUGUUUAGCACGGGUUAAAGGGCUAGUGGUGCCACUAUGCCAUGAAGAAACAAAAUCAGCUCCAGCUACAGCACCAACAGUUGGUGUACAUAUCGGAUUGAUGUUGCUGUUGAAAAAGUUGUUGGGCAGCAUAUAAAACGGACGAAUGACUAAACAAUCCAUUUGCUCAUCUUACAGUUCCCAUUCCAUCUGGCUAAAAAAUUAUAUCAGCUUCUUUUUCUUGUGCUCCUAAAGGAUGUAAAUGGGUGGCGCACAUGGCCAGGCCAAGAAUGCCCUUGUUUCAGUCUCUUUUGGGGAGCUUCUGAUGUGUGUCGUCUUAGUAUUAUAGCUUAGUCAUGUAUAACGAGCUACUCCUUUACUUCAUUGUUAAGUAGAGGUAUAGAAUUCAUGGCAUGGAAAUGUUACCAGAACAAGAUAAAAAAGCGCAGCUAAACAAAUAAAUAAAGAAAGAUAAGCUGAAGCAACAGUCAA